UUAUCGGAGAGUUUGAUCCUGGCUCAGGACGAACGCUGGCGGCGUGCCUAAUACAUGCAAGUCGAGCGGACAGAUGGGAGUUUGCUCCCUGAUGUUAGCGGCGGACGGGUGAGUAACACGUGGGUAACCUGCCUGUAAGACUGGGAUAACUCCGGGAAACCGGGGCUAAUACCGGAUGGUUGUUUGAACCGCAUGGUUCAAACAUAAAAGGUGGCUUCGGCUACCACUUACAGAUGGACCCGCGGCGCAUUAGCUAGUUGGUGAGGUAACGGCUCACCAAGGCGACGAUGCGUAGCCGACCUGAGAGGGUGAUCGGCCACACUGGGACUGAGGCACGGCCCAGACUCCUACGGGAGGCAGCAGUAGGGAAUCUUCCGCAAUGGACGAAAGUCUGACGGAGCAACGCCGCGUGAGUGAUGAAGGUUUUCGGAUCGUAAAGCUCUGUUGUUAGGGAAGAACAAGUACCGUUCGAAUAGGGCGGUACCUUGACGGUACCUAACCAGAAAGCCACGGCUAACUACGUGCCAGCAGCCGCGGUAAUACGUAGGUGGCAAGCGUUGUCCGGAAUUAUUGGGCGUAAAGGGCUCGCAGGCGGUUUCUUAAGUCUGAUGUGAAAGCCCCCGGCUCAACCGGGGAGGGUCAUUGGAAACUGGGGAACUUGAGUGCAGAAGAGGAGAGUGGAAUUCCACGUGUAGCGGUGAAAUGCGUAGAGAUGUGGAGGAACACCAGUGGCGAAGGCGACUCUCUGGUCUGUAACUGACGCUGAGGAGCGAAAGCGUGGGGAGCGAACAGGAUUAGAUACCCUGGUAGUCCACGCCGUAAACGAUGAGUGCUAAGUGUUAGGGGGUUUCCGCCCCUUAGUGCUGCAGCUAACGCAUUAAGCACUCCGCCUGGGGAGUACGGUCGCAAGACUGAAACUCAAAGGAAUUGACGGGGGCCCGCACAAGCGGUGGAGCAUGUGGUUUAAUUCGAAGCAACGCGAAGAACCUUACCAGGUCUUGACAUCCUCUGACAAUCCUAGAGAUAGGACGUCCCCUUCGGGGGCAGAGUGACAGGUGGUGCAUGGUUGUCGUCAGCUCGUGUCGUGAGAUGUUGGGUUAAGUCCCGCAACGAGCGCAACCCUUGAUCUUAGUUGCCAGCAUUCAGUUGGGCACUCUAAGGUGACUGCCGGUGACAAACCGGAGGAAGGUGGGGAUGACGUCAAAUCAUCAUGCCCCUUAUGACCUGGGCUACACACGUGCUACAAUGGACAGAACAAAGGGCAGCGAAACCGCGAGGUUAAGCCAAUCCCACAAAUCUGUUCUCAGUUCGGAUCGCAGUCUGCAACUCGACUGCGUGAAGCUGGAAUCGCUAGUAAUCGCGGAUCAGCAUGCCGCGGUGAAUACGUUCCCGGGCCUUGUACACACCGCCCGUCACACCACGAGAGUUUGUAACACCCGAAGUCGGUGAGGUAACCUUUUAGGAGCCAGCCGCCGAAGGUGGGACAGAUGAUUGGGGUGAAGUCGUAACAAGGUAGCCGUAUCGGAAGGUGCGGCUGGAUCACCUCCUUU
This 1550-nucleotide ribosomal RNA is filed under the name Bacillus subtilis. Its description in RNAcentral is "16S ribosomal RNA". It matches the Rfam family "Bacterial small subunit ribosomal RNA". Lineage: Bacteria; Bacillati; Bacillota; Bacilli; Caryophanales; Bacillaceae. The record is from RNAcentral.